This is a non-coding RNA of Pelobates cultripes (western spadefoot toad), 214 nucleotides long. The record is from the annotation of a GenBank genome assembly. NCBI's taxonomy places the organism in Eukaryota, Metazoa, Chordata, Amphibia, Anura, Pelobatidae.
AUAACUAAAACGUAAGGGUGCACACUUCAUGGGAAAUUCCCUAAAUUGGGACAAGAUGGCUUCCUAAGGUCUGAUGACGUAUCAUAGCCUUGAAGAUGCUAUUGCAUUACUUGUUUUAUAUUAAGCUAAGACAAAUUGGCAUAAACAUAUUAUGCACUAAAAGUUGGUAAGAGGUUAUUGCUUAAAGAAACAUGUAUGAAAAACAAUAUGUUCC